AGGGAAAGCGAGCGGGAUGCUUUACACAUGCAAGUCGAACGGCAGCGCGGACUUCGGUCUGGCGGCGAGUGGCGAACGGGUGAGUAAUGUAUCGGAACGUGCCCAGUAGCGGGGGAUAACUACGCGAAAGCGUAGCUAAUACCGCAUACGCCCUACGGGGGAAAGCAGGGGAUCGUAAGACCUUGCACUAUUGGAGCGGCCGAUAUCGGAUUAGCUAGUUGGUGAGGUAACGGCUCACCAAGGCGACGAUCCGUAGCUGGUUUGAGAGGACGACCAGCCACACUGGGACUGAGACACGGCCCAGACUCCUACGGGAGGCAGCAGUGGGGAAUUUUGGACAAUGGGGGCAACCCUGAUCCAGCCAUCCCGCGUGUGCGAUGAAGGCCUUCGGGUUGUAAAGCACUUUUGGCAGGAAAGAAACGUCGCGGGCUAAUACCCCGUGGAACUGACGGUACCUGCAGAAUAAGCACCGGCUAACUACGUG
This 484-nucleotide ribosomal RNA is filed under the name uncultured bacterium. Its description in RNAcentral is "partial 16S ribosomal RNA". It matches the Rfam family "Bacterial small subunit ribosomal RNA", at positions 31 to 507 of the family's 1533-position model. The record is from RNAcentral.